Manihot esculenta (cassava) is the source of this 177-nucleotide long non-coding RNA. RefSeq lists it as uncharacterized. The record is from RefSeq and is a predicted model, not a curated record. NCBI's taxonomy places the organism in Eukaryota, Viridiplantae, Streptophyta, Magnoliopsida, Malpighiales, Euphorbiaceae. The transcript is spliced from 2 exons.
GAAACUUGCAGAGAUGAAUAGAAUAUGGGAGCAGAAAUUCAAGAUGCUUUUGGAGAAAAACAAUAAUAUUGCAUCACCUAUGGAGGAUUCCCAAGAUGAUGAAAUUGGAGGAUGAUUUGCAGUAUAUUUGAAGUUUUGGAUUUUGAAGCAGCCAGCAGCCUUAUAAUACUACUUUUA